RNAcentral lists this ribosomal RNA (441 nucleotides) under uncultured bacterium. RNAcentral describes it as "partial 16S ribosomal RNA". It matches the Rfam family "Bacterial small subunit ribosomal RNA", at positions 338 to 795 of the family's 1533-position model. The record is from RNAcentral.
CCUACGGGUGGCAGCAGUGGGGAAUAUUGCACAAUGGGGGAAACCCUGAUGCAGCGACGCCGCGUGGGCGAGGAAGUACCUCGGUAUGUAAAGCCCUAUCAGCAGGGAAGAAACAGGACAUUACCUGACUCAGCCGCCCCGGCUACCUACGUGCCAGCAGCCGCGGUAAUACGUAGGGGGCAAGCGUUAUCCGGAUUCACUGGGCGUAAAGGGAGCGCAGGCGGCAUGGCAAGUCUGAUGUGAAAACCCGGGGCCCAACCCCGGGAGGGCAUUGGAAACUGCCAGGCUGGAGUGGCGGAGGGGUAAGCGGAAUGCCUAGUGUAGCGGUGAAAUGCGUAGAUAUUAGGAGGAACACCAGUGGCGAAGGCGGCUUACUGGACGACGACUGACGCUGAGGCUCGAAAGCGUGGGGAGCAAACAGGAUUAGAUACCCGAGUAGUC